AUACGGAGGGAGCAAGCGUUGUUCGGAAUCAUUGGGCGUAAAGCGCGCGUAGGCGGCUUUGUAAGUCGGAUGUGAAAGCCCUGGGCUCAACCUGGGAAUGGCAUUCGAUACUGCAUAACUAGAGUAUGGUAGAGGGAAGUGGAAUUUCCGGUGUAGCGGUGAAAUGCGUAGAUAUCGGAAGGAACACCAGUGGCGAAGGCGACUUCCUGGGCCAAUACUGACGCUGAGGUGCGAAAGCGUGGGGAGCGAACCGGAUUAGAUACCCGAGUAGUCC
This 274-nucleotide ribosomal RNA is filed under the name uncultured bacterium. Its description in RNAcentral is "partial 16S ribosomal RNA". It matches the Rfam family "Bacterial small subunit ribosomal RNA", at positions 523 to 796 of the family's 1533-position model. The record is from RNAcentral.